CCUACGGGAGGCAGCAGUGGGGAAUCUUGCGCAAUGGGCGAAAGCCUGACGCAGCCAUGCCGCGUGAAUGAUGAAGGUCUUAGGAUUGUAAAAUUCUUUCACCGGGGACGAUAAUGACGGUACCCGGAGAAGAAGCCCCGGCUAACUUCGUGCCAGCAGCCGCGGUAAUACGAAGGGGGCUAGCGUUGCUCGGAAUUACUGGGCGUAAAGGGAGCGUAGGCGGAUAGUUUAGUCAGAGGUGAAAGCCCAGGGCUCAACCUUGGAAUUGCCUUUGAUACUGGCUAUCUUGAGUACGGAAGAGGUAUGUGGAACUCCGAGUGUAGAGGUGAAAUUCGUAGAUAUUCGGAAGAACACCAGUGGCGAAGGCGACAUACUGGUCCGUUACUGACGCUGAGGCUCGAAAGCGUGGGGAGCAAACAGGAUUAGAUACCCUGGUAGUCCACGCUGUAAACGAUGAGUGCUAGUUGUCGGCAUGCAUGCAUGUCGGUGACGCAGCUACGACAUAAGUACACUCCGCCGUCGGGGAGGUACGGUCGCGAAGAAGUUAAAACGUUAAAAGGUAAAGUUAGUUACGGUCGUUGAGACGUUGCCGACGGACGACGACGAGGGAGGAGG
Molecule: ribosomal RNA, 615 nt
Filed under: uncultured bacterium
Lineage: Bacteria
Description: bacterial SSU rRNA
Rfam family: Bacterial small subunit ribosomal RNA (bases 1-518)
Source: RNAcentral